GACGAACGCUGGCGGCGUGCCUAAUACAUGCAAGUUGAGCGCUGAAGGUUGGUACUUGUACCAACUGGAUGAGCAGCGAACGGGUGAGUAACGCGUGGGGAAUCUGCCUUUGAGCGGGGGACAACAUUUGGAGACGAAUGCUAAUACCGCAUAAAAACUUUAAACACAAGUUUUAAGUUUGAAAGAUGCAAUUGCAUCACUCAAAGAUGAUCCCGCGUUGUAUUAGCUAGUUGGUGAGGUAAAGGCUCACCAAGGCGAUGAUACAUAGCCGACCUGGGAGGGUGAUAGGCCACAGUGGGCCUGAGACACGGCCCAAACUCCUACGGGAGGCAGCAGUAGGGAAUCUUCGGCAAUGGACGAAAGUCUGACCGAGAAACGCCGCGUGAGUGAAGAAGGUUUUCGGAUCGUAAAACUCUGUUGGUAGAGAAGAACGUUGGUGAGAGUGGAAAGCUCAUCAAGUGACGGUAACUACCCAGAAAGGGACGGCUAACUACGUG
This 497-nucleotide ribosomal RNA is filed under the name uncultured bacterium. Its description in RNAcentral is "partial 16S ribosomal RNA". It matches the Rfam family "Bacterial small subunit ribosomal RNA", at positions 28 to 507 of the family's 1533-position model. The record is from RNAcentral.